Molecule: ribosomal RNA, 800 nt
Filed under: uncultured bacterium
Lineage: Bacteria
Description: bacterial SSU rRNA
Rfam family: Bacterial small subunit ribosomal RNA
Source: RNAcentral
AGAGUUUGAUCCUGGCUCAGAGCGAACGUUAGCGGCGCGCCUAACACAUGCAAGUCGCACGAGAGGGGGCAACCCCGAAAGUGGCGCACGGGUGCGUAACACGUAGAUAAUCUGCCCUUUGGAGGGGGAUAACGUUCCGAAAGGAGCGCUAAUACCGCGUAAAGCCGAGCUUGGUUUGCCGAGCUCGGGCAAAGACUGGGACCGUAAGGCCAGUCGCCGAAGGAGGAGUCUGCGGCCCAUCAGCUAGUUGGUAAGGUAAUGGCUUACCAAGGCAGAGACGGGUAGCUGGUCUGAGAGGAUGAUCAGCCACACUGGUACUGGAACACGGACCAGACUCCUACGGGAGGCAGCAGUGGGGAAUCUUGGUCAAUGGGCGCAAGCCUGAACCAGCGACGCCGCGUGAGUGAUGAAGGCCUUCGGGUUGUAAAGCUCUGUGGGGAGGGACGAAAGACUGAGGUCUAAUAGGCUUCAGGUUGACGGUACCUCCUUAGCAAGCACCGGCUAACUCUGUGCCAGCAGCCGCGGUAAGACAGAGGGUGCAAACGUUGCUCGGAAUCACUGGGCGUAAAGGGCGUGUAGGCGGGAAUGCAAGUCGGGCGUGAAAUCCCUGGGCUCAACCCAGGAACUGCACUCGAAACUGCGUUCCUUGAGUACCGGAGAGGAAAGCGGAAUACCUGGUGUAGAGGUGAAAUUCGUAGAUAUCAGGUGGAACACCAGUGGCGAAGGCGGCUUUCUGGACGGUAACUGACGCUGAGACGCGAAAGCGUGGGGAGCAAACAGGAUUAGAUACCCUGGUAGUC